GCGAUGGACAAUCGGUUAAUAUUCCGAUACCGCCGAGCAACCGGAUGCAGUGACACAGAAGGAUAGGCAGAGCGUGGCGAUGGUAGACCACGUCCAAGCAGUGAGGCUGUUGUGUAGUGAAGUACGCACAACGGAAGGCUGGGCUGUGAUGGGGAACGAUUACGAUCGGUAAGCUGCUGAAUUCACGCUGGCGAGAAAAGCUGCUACGAAGCGAAGGCGCCCGUACCGCAAACCGACACAGGUAGGCGAGGAGAGAAUCCUAAGACGAGCGGGAGAACCCUUGUUAAGGAACUCGGCAAAAUGACUCCGUAACUUAGGGAGAAGGAGUGCCCAGGAAUGGGCCGCAGAGAAUAGACCCAAGCGACUGUUUACCAAAAACACAGGUCUGUGCGAAGUAGAGAUACGACGUAUACGGGCUGACACCUGCCCAGUGCCGGAAGGUUAAGGGGAAAUGUUAGGGCAACCGAAGCAUGGAACUUAAGCCCCGGUGAACGGCGGCCGUAACUAUAACGGUCCUAAGGUAGCGAAAUUCCUUGUCGGGUAAGUUCCGACCCGCACGAAUGGUGUAACGAUUUGGGUACUGUCUCAACAAGGGACCCGGCGAAAUUGUAGUAUGUGUGAAGAUGCACAUUACCCGCGAUAGGACGGAAAGACCCCGUAGAGCUUUACUGUAGUUUAACAUUGGAUUCCGGUAACAUAUGCACAGGAUAGGUGGGAGGCGGAGAAGCAGUGAUUUCGGUUGCUGCAGAGCCGACGUUGGGAUACCACUCUUGUGUUACUGGGGUUCUAACCUGUGGCCGUGAUCCGGCACAGGAACAGUGUUAGAUGGGCAGUUUGACUGGGGCGGUCGCCUCCAAAAGAGUAACGGAGGCGUCCAAAGGUUCCCUCAGAAUGGUUGGAAACCAUUCGAAGAGUACAAAGGCAGAAGGGAGCCUGACUGCGAGACCGACAGGUCGAGCAGGGACGAAAGUCGGGCUUAGUGAUCCGGCGGUAUAGAGUGGAAUUGCCGUCGCUCAACGGAUAAAAGCUACCUCGGG
RNAcentral lists this ribosomal RNA (1037 nucleotides) under human gut metagenome. Its description in RNAcentral is "bacterial LSU rRNA". It matches the Rfam family "Bacterial large subunit ribosomal RNA", at positions 1415 to 2472 of the family's 2925-position model. The record is from RNAcentral.